CAGCCGCCACGGGAAUACGGAGGGUGCAAGCGUUAAUCGGAAUUACUGGGCGUAAAGCGCACGCAGGCGGUCUGACAAGUCAGAUGUGAAAUCCCCGGGCUUAACCUGGGAACUGCAUUUGAAACUGUCAGGCUGGAGUCUUGUAGAGGGGGGUGGAAUUCCAGGUGUAGCGGUGAAAUGCGUAGAGAUCUGGAGGAAUACCGGUGGCGAAGGCGGCCCCCUGGACAAAGACUGACGCUCAGGUGCGAAAGCGUGGGGAGCAAACAGGAUUAGAUACCCCGGUAGUCCCUGUCUCUAUACC
RNAcentral lists this ribosomal RNA (301 nucleotides) under uncultured bacterium. Its description in RNAcentral is "partial 16S ribosomal RNA". It matches the Rfam family "Bacterial small subunit ribosomal RNA", at positions 509 to 808 of the family's 1533-position model. The record is from RNAcentral.